This 497-nucleotide ribosomal RNA is filed under the name uncultured bacterium. Its description in RNAcentral is "partial 16S ribosomal RNA". It matches the Rfam family "Bacterial small subunit ribosomal RNA", at positions 28 to 507 of the family's 1533-position model. The record is from RNAcentral.
GAUGAACGCUGGCGGCGUGCCUAGUACAUGCAAGUCGAGCGAACAGACGAGGAGCUUGCUCCUUUGACGUUAGCGGCGGACGGGUGAGUAACACGUGGGUAACCUACCUAUAAGACUGGGAUAACUUCGGGAAACCGGAGCUAAUACCGGAUAAUAUUUCGAACCGCAUGGUUCGAUAGUGAAAGAUGGCUCUGCUAUCACUUAUAGAUGGACCUGCGCCGUAUUAGCUAGUUGGUAAGGUAACGGCUUACCAAGGCAACGAUACGUAGCCGACCUGAGAGGGUGAUCGGCCACACUGGAACUGAGACACGGUCCAGACUCCUACGGGAGGCAGCAGUAGGGAAUCUUCCGCAAUGGGCGAAAGCCUGACGGAGCAACGCCGCGUGAGUGAUGAAGGUCUUCGGAUCGUAAAACUCUGUUAUUAGGGAAGAACAAACGUGUAAGUAACUGUGCACGUCUUGACGGUACCUAAUCAGAAAGCCACGGCUAACUACGUG